RNAcentral lists this ribosomal RNA (677 nucleotides) under Trichoderma harzianum. RNAcentral describes it as "eukaryotic LSU rRNA". The stretch from base 207 to 360 matches the Rfam family "5.8S ribosomal RNA". The record is from RNAcentral. Lineage: Eukaryota; Fungi; Ascomycota; Sordariomycetes; Hypocreales; Hypocreaceae.
GGGGGGAUUCCGGACUUAACUCCCAACCCAAUGUGACGUUACCAAACUGUUGCCUCGGCGGGAUCUCUGCCCCGGGUGCGUCGCAGCCCCGGACCAAGGCGCCCGCCGGAGGACCAACCAAAACUCUUAUUGUAUACCCCCUCGCGGGUUUUUUUAUAAUCUGAGCCUUCUCGGCGCCUCUCGUAGGCGUUUCGAAAAUGAAUCAAAACUUUCAACAACGGAUCUCUUGGUUCUGGCAUCGAUGAAGAACGCAGCGAAAUGCGAUAAGUAAUGUGAAUUGCAGAAUUCAGUGAAUCAUCGAAUCUUUGAACGCACAUUGCGCCCGCCAGUAUUCUGGCGGGCAUGCCUGUCCGAGCGUCAUUUCAACCCUCGAACCCCUCCGGGGGGUCGGCGUUGGGGAUCGGCCCUGCCUUGGCGGUGGCCGUCUCCGAAAUACAGUGGCGGUCUCGCCGCAGCCUCUCCUGCGCAGUAGUUUGCACACUCGCAUCGGGAGCGCGGCGCGUCCACAGCCGUUAAACACCCAACUUCUGAAAUGUUGACCUCGGAUCAGGUACGAAUACCCGCUGAACUUAAGCAUAUCAAUAAGCGAGAUAUUUACGAGUUUACAACUCCAAACCAUGUGAAGUUACAACGGUUGCCCCGGGGAAUCUUGCCCGGGUUGGUCCACCCCGACAAGG